This 23-nucleotide non-coding RNA is filed under the name Cricetulus griseus (Chinese hamster). The record is from RNAcentral. Lineage: Eukaryota; Metazoa; Chordata; Mammalia; Rodentia; Cricetidae.
AGACUGACUUAGACUUAGGAGAG